GACGAACGCUGGCGGCGUGCCUAAUACAUGCAAGUAGAACGCACAGUUUAUACCGUAGCUUGCUACACCAUAGACUGUGAGUUGCGAACGGGUUAGUAACGCGUAGUUAACCUGCCUGUUAGCGGGGGAUAACUAUUGGAAACGAUAGCUAAUACCGCAUAAUAUUAAUUAUUGCAUGAUAAUUAAUUGAAAGGUGCAAUUGCACCACUACCAUAUGUACCUGCUUUGUAUUAGCUAGUAGGGGAGGUAACGGCCCACCUAGGCGACGAUACAUAGCCGACUUGGAAGGGAGGACGAGCACACUUGGAAUGGGGAAAGGGCCAGACUCCUACGGGAGGGAGGAGUAGGGAAUCUUCGGAAAUGGAGGGAAGUCUGACUGAGGAAAGGCGCGGGAGUGAAGAAGGUUUUCGGAGUGUAAAGCUACGUUGUAAGAGAAGAACGGGUGUGAGAGUGGAAAGUUCACACUGUGACGGUAUCGUAACAGAAAGGGACGGCUAACUACGUG
This 505-nucleotide ribosomal RNA is filed under the name uncultured bacterium. RNAcentral's name for it is "partial 16S ribosomal RNA". It matches the Rfam family "Bacterial small subunit ribosomal RNA", at positions 28 to 507 of the family's 1533-position model. The record is from RNAcentral.